Molecule: ribosomal RNA, 119 nt
Filed under: Glossina brevipalpis
Lineage: Eukaryota; Metazoa; Arthropoda; Insecta; Diptera; Glossinidae
Source: RNAcentral
ACCAGCGACCAUACCACGUUGAAUAUAUCGGUUCUCGUUCUAUUACCAAAAUUAAGCAACUUCGGGCACAGUUGAUACUUAGAGGGGGGACCACUUGCGAACACUACGUGUUGGUGGCA